Molecule: microRNA precursor, 54 nt
Organism: Oreochromis aureus
Lineage: Eukaryota; Metazoa; Chordata; Actinopteri; Cichliformes; Cichlidae
Source: Ensembl
AGAGUGAGUGGCUGUCAUUUUAAUUUACUUUAAAAUGACAGCCACUCACUCUGG